UACGUAGGCAGCGAGCGUUGUUCGGAAUUAUUGGGCGUAAAGAGUGCGUAGGCGGUGCUCUAAGUCUGUCGUGAAAUCUCCCGGCUUAACUGGGAGGGUGCGGCGGAAACUGGAAUGCUAGAGGGUGGGAGAGGAAGGCGGAAUUCCUGGUGUAGCGGUGAAAUGCGUAGAUAUGAGGAGGAACACCUGCGGUGUAGACAGCUUUCUGGACCACUACUGACGCUGAGGCACGAAAGCGUGGGUAGCAAACAGG
Molecule: ribosomal RNA, 253 nt
Filed under: uncultured bacterium
Lineage: Bacteria
Description: partial 16S ribosomal RNA
Rfam family: Bacterial small subunit ribosomal RNA
Source: RNAcentral